GACGAACGCUGGCGGCGUGCUUAACACAUGCAAGUCGAACGGAAAGGCCCUGCUUGCAGGGUACUCGAGUGGCGAACGGGUGAGUAACACGUGGGUUAUCUGCCCUGCACUUCGGGAUAAGCCUGGGAAACUGGGUCUAAUACCGGAUAGGAGCCAUUUUUAGUGUGAUGGUUGGAAAGUUUUUUCGGUGUAGGAUGAGCUCGCGGCCUAUCAGCUUGUUGGUGGGGUAAUGGCCUACCAAGGCGGCGACGGGUAGCCGGCCUGAGAGGGUGGACAGCCACAUUGGGACUGAGAUACGGCCCAGACGCCUACGGGAGGCAGCAGUGGGGAAUAUUGCACAAUGGGCGCAAGCCUGAUGCAGCGACGCCGCGUGGGGGAUGACGGCCUUCGGGUUGUAAACUCCUUUCGCUAGGGACGAAGCUUUUUGUGACGGUACCUAGAUAAGAAGCACCGGCUAACUACGUG
This 465-nucleotide ribosomal RNA is filed under the name uncultured bacterium. Its description in RNAcentral is "partial 16S ribosomal RNA". It matches the Rfam family "Bacterial small subunit ribosomal RNA", at positions 28 to 507 of the family's 1533-position model. The record is from RNAcentral.